This 490-nucleotide ribosomal RNA is filed under the name uncultured bacterium. RNAcentral describes it as "partial 16S ribosomal RNA". It matches the Rfam family "Bacterial small subunit ribosomal RNA", at positions 29 to 507 of the family's 1533-position model. The record is from RNAcentral.
AGUGAACGCUGGCGGCAGGCCUAACACAUGCAAGUCGAACGGCAGCACAAGAGAGCUUGCUCUCUGGGUGGCGAGUGGCGGACGGGUGAGGAAUGCAUCGGAAUCUGCCCAUUUGUGGGGGAUAACCUCGGGAAACCGGGACUAAUACCGCAUACGACCUACGGGUGAAAGCAGGGGAUCUUCGGACCUUGCGCAGAUGGAUGAGCCGAUGCCGGAUUAGCUAGUUGGAGGGGUAAAGGCCCACCAAGGCGACGAUCCGUAGCUGGUCUGAGAGGAUGAUCGGCCACACUGGGACUGAGACACGGCCCAGACUCCUACGGGAGGCAGCAGUGGGGAAUAUUGGACAAUGGGCGCAAGCCUGAUCCAGCCAUGCCGCGUGUGUGAAGAAGGCCUUCGGGUUGUAAAGCACUUUUGUUGGGAAAGAAAAGCAGCCGGUUAAUACCCGGUUGUCAUGACGGUACCCAAAGAAUAAGCACCGGCUAACUUCGUG